This 291-nucleotide ribosomal RNA is filed under the name uncultured bacterium. RNAcentral's name for it is "partial 16S ribosomal RNA". It matches the Rfam family "Bacterial small subunit ribosomal RNA", at positions 505 to 796 of the family's 1533-position model. The record is from RNAcentral.
GUGUCAGCCGCCGCGGUAAUACGUAGGUGGCAAGCGUUGUCCGGAUUUAUUGGGCGUAAAGCGCGCGCAGGCGGCUAUGUAAGUCUGGUGUUAAAGCCCGGGGCUCAACCCCGGUUCGCAUCGGAAACUGUGUAGCUUGAGUGCAGAAGAGGAAAGCGGUAUUCCACGUGUAGCGGUGAAAUGCGUAGAGAUGUGGAGGAACACCAGUGGCGAAGGCGGCUUUCUGGUCUGUAACUGACGCUGAGGCGCGAAAGCGUGGGGAGCAAACAGGAUUAGAUACCCGCGUAGUCC